Molecule: ribosomal RNA, 490 nt
Filed under: uncultured bacterium
Lineage: Bacteria
Description: partial 16S ribosomal RNA
Rfam family: Bacterial small subunit ribosomal RNA
Source: RNAcentral
AUUGAACGCUGGCGGCAGGCCUAACACAUGCAAGUCGAACGGUAACAGGAAACGGCUUGCUGUUUCGCUGACGAGUGGCGGACGGGUGAGUAAUGUCUGGGAAACUGCCUGAUGGAGGGGGAUAACUACUGGAAACGGUAGCUAAUACCGCAUAACGUCGCAAGACCAAAGAGGGGGACCUUCGGGCCUCUUGCCAUCGGAUGUGCCCAGAUGGGAUUAGCUAGUAGGUGGGGUAACGGCUCACCUAGGCGACGAUCCCUAGCUGGUCUGAGAGGAUGACCAGCCACACUGGAACUGAGACACGGUCCAGACUCCUACGGGAGGCAGCAGUGGGGAAUAUUGCACAAUGGGCGCAAGCCUGAUGCAGCCAUGCCGCGUGUAUGAAGAAGGCCUUCGGGUUGUAAAGUACUUUCAGCGGGGAGGAAGGGAGUAAAGUUAAUACCUUUACUCAUUGACGUUACCCGCAGAAGAAGCACCGGCUAACUCCGUG